UAAAGCGUAAAAGAGCGUAGAGUGAAUGCCUUGGCAUUGGGAGCCGACGAAGGACGUGGUUAACUGCGAAAAGCUACGGGGAGUCGUAAGCAGACAUUGAUCCGUAGAUGUCCGAAUGGAGCAAUCCGCAUGGAGUUAGUCCAUGCAUCCAUAAGUGAAUUCAUAGCUUAUGGAGGGGAACCGCCUGAACUGAAACAUCUAAGUAGGGCGAGGAAGAGAAAUCAAACGAGAUUCCGCUAGUAGUGGCGAGCGAACGCGGAAGAGGCCAAACUGAGAGCAGCAAUGUUCUCAGGGUUAGGACUGCAUUUAGCAUUGACAAAGGUUAGCUGAACUGCAUGGGAAGGCAGACUGGAAAGGGUGAGAGUCCCGUAAGCGAAAACCAAAGUCAGCGAGCAGUAUCCAGAGUACCGCAAGACACGUGAAACCUUGUGGGAAGAUGGGGGGACCACCCUCCAAGCCUAAAUACUACCCAGUGACCGAUAGCGUAUAGUACCGUGAGGGAAAGGUGAAAAGAACCCCGGGAGGGGAGUGAAAGAGAACCUGAAACCCUGCACUUACAAGCUGUAGGAGCACAUUAUUUGUGUGACUGCGUACUUUUUGUAGAACGGGCCAACGAGUUACGUUGUGUAGCAAGGUUAAGCACUUAAGGUGUGGAGCCGUAGCGAAAGCGAGUCUUAAAUGGGCGUCUAGUUACCCGACGUAGACCCGAAACCAGGCGACCUAUCCAUGAGCAGGUUGAAGCGAAAGUAAAAUUUCGUGGAGGACCGAACCCACGUACGUUGAAAAGUGCGGGGAUGACUUGUGGAUAGCGGUGAAAUUCCAAUCGAGCCUGGAGAUAGCUGGUUCUCCCCGAAAUAGCUUUAGGGCUAGCCUCAAGCUUAGAGAAACGGAGGUAGAGCACUGAAUGUCCUAGGGGGUAUUGCACUUACCGAAGACUAUCAAACUCCGAAUGCCGUAUUCUUUUGCUUGGGAGUCAGACUAUGGGUGAUAAGAUUCAUAGUCAAGAGGGCAACAGCCCAGAUCGUCAGCUAAGGUCCCUAAAUGUAAGUUAAGUGGUAAAGGAUGUGGAAUUGCACAGACAACCAGGAUGUUGGCUUAGAAGCAGCCACUCAUUUAAAGAGUGCGUAAUAGCUCACUGGUCGAGUGAUUCUGCGCCGAAAAUUUCCGGGGCUAAAACUUACUACCGAAGCUACGGCAUCAUUAUGAUGGGUAGGGGAGCUUUCUAUACGGGUUGAAGCAUGACCGUAAGGACAUGUGGACUGCAUAGAAGUGAGAAUGUUGGCAUGAGUAGCGAGAUGUGGGUGAGAAUCCCACAGGCCGUAAACCCAAGGUUUCCAGGGGAAGGUUCGUCCGCCCUGGGUUAGUCAGGACCUAAGCCGAGGCCGAAAGGCGUAGGUGAUGGACAACAGGUUGAUAUUCCUGUACCACCAAUAACCGUUUGAGAAAUGGGAUGACACAGUAGGAUAAGCUAACCGCACUGUUGGUUAUGUGCGGGCAAGUAUUGAGGCAGUUCCGAUAGGCAAAUCCGUCGGAAUAAUGCUGGGGUACGAUGCGGAGCGAAAUUUAGUAGCGAAGUAGCUGAUUUCACACUGUCGAGAAAAGUCUCUAUCGAGGUUAAAGGUGCCUGUACCGCAAACCGACACAGGUGGGUGAGGAGAGUAUCCUAAGGCCAGCGAGAGAACUGUUGUUAAGGAACUCGGCAAAAUGACCCCGUAACUUAGGGAGAAGGGGUGCCUUCGAAAGAAGGCCGCAGAGAAUAGGCCCAAGCGACUGUUUACCAAAAACAUAGGUUUCUGCUAAGUCGCAAGACGAUGUAUAGGAGCUGACGCCUGCCCGGUGCUGGAAGGUUAAGGGGAUCUGUUAGAGCAAUCGAAGCAGUGAACUUAAGCCCCAGUAAACGGCGGCCGUAACUAUAACGGUCCUAAGGUAGCGAAAUUCCUUGUCGGGUAAGUUCCGACCCGCACGAAAGGCGUAACGAUUUGGGCACUGUCUCAACAACAGACUCGGUGAAAUUGUAAUACCGGUGAAGAUGCCGGUUACCUGCGACAGGACGGAAAGACCCCAUGGAGCUUUACUGUAGCUUGACAUUGAGUCUCGGUGCUACAUGUACAGGAUAGGUGGGAGACUAUGAAGCAUGGACGUCAGUCUGUGUGGAGUCAUCCUUGGGAUACCACCCUUGUAGUACUGGGAUUCUAACCAGAGGCCAUGAAUCUGGUCUUGGGACACUGUCAGGUGGACAGUUUGACUGGGGCGGUCGCCUCCCAAAAAGUAACGGAGGCGCUCAAAGGUUCUCUCAGUACGGUCGGAAAUCGUACGAAGAGUGUAAAGGCAAAAGAGAGCUUGAUUGCAAGACAUACAGGUCGAGCAAGGACGAAAGUCGGACUUAGUGAUCCGGUGGUUCCGCAUGGAAGGGCCAUCGCUCAACGGAUAAAAGCUACCCUGGGGAUAACAGGCUGAUCUCCCCCAA
RNAcentral lists this ribosomal RNA (2467 nucleotides) under human gut metagenome. RNAcentral's name for it is "bacterial LSU rRNA". It matches the Rfam family "Bacterial large subunit ribosomal RNA", at positions 1 to 2495 of the family's 2925-position model. The record is from RNAcentral.